UUCCCGGGAUUUUCCAGCCCUGAAGAAGCCGGUGGGGAAAACGAAAGAGGAGCUGGCCCUGGAGAAAAAACGGGAAUUGGAGAAACGGCUCCAGGACGUCAGCGGGCAGCUCAACUCCGCCAAGAAACCCCCCAAAAAAGCGAGCGAGAAGCCGGAAUCGGCGGCGGCGGCGGCGGCGUCGCGACUCAGCGCCUCCAGCUCCAGCUCGGACUCGAGCAGCUCCAGCUCCUCCUCCUCAUCCUCCGACACCAGCGACUCCGAGUCUGGAUAAUUCCCGGGAAAAACACGGAAUUCCCGGGAAAAAUACAGAAUUCCUGGGAAAAAAACCACAAAAUUCCCGGGAAAAAUAUGGAAUUCUUGGGAAAAACAAAAAAAUUCCUGGAAAAAAUAAAAACGAGAAGAAAUAAAAAAUCCUGGAAAAAUUUUGGGGAAAAAAAAAACCACCUGGAAAAAAACCCCGGGAAAUUCCUGGAAAAAAUUCCCAAAGGACAAAAAAA
This 497-nucleotide long non-coding RNA is filed under the name Parus major (Great Tit). Its description in RNAcentral is "lncRNA (ENSPMJG00000004558.1)". The record is from RNAcentral. Lineage: Eukaryota; Metazoa; Chordata; Aves; Passeriformes; Paridae.